This 497-nucleotide ribosomal RNA is filed under the name uncultured bacterium. Its description in RNAcentral is "partial 16S ribosomal RNA". It matches the Rfam family "Bacterial small subunit ribosomal RNA", at positions 28 to 507 of the family's 1533-position model. The record is from RNAcentral.
GAUGAACGCUGGCGGCGUGCCUAAUACAUGCAAGUCGAGCGAACAGACGAGGAGCUUGCUCCUCUGACGUUAUCGGCGGACGGGUGAUUAACACGUGGAUAACCUACCUAUAAGACUGGGAUAACUUCGGGAAACCGUAGCUAAUACCGGAUAAUAUAUUGAACCGCAUUGUUCCCUAGUUAAAGACGGUUUUGCUGUCACUUAUAGAUUGAUCCGCGCCGCAUUAGCUAGUUGGUAAGGUAACGGCUUACCAAGGCAACGAUGCGUAGCCGACCUGAGAGGGUGAUCGGCCACACUGGAACUGAGACACGGUACAGACUCCUAGGGGAGGCAGCAGUAGGGAAUCUUCCGCAAUGGGCGAAAGGCUGACGGAGCAACGCCGCGGGAGUGAUGAAGGUCUUAGGAUCGUAAAACGCUGUUAGUAGGGAAGAACAAAUGUGUAAGUAACUAUGCACGUCUUGACGGUACCUAAUCAGAAAGCCACGGCUAACUACGUG